UACGGAGGGUGCAAGCGUUGUUCGGAAUCACUGGGCGUAAAGCGCGUGUAGGCGGCCAUUUAAGUCUGGUGUGAAAGCCCUGGGCUCAACCCAGGAAGUGCACUGGAUACUGGAUGGCUGGAGUACCGGAGAGGAGGGUGGAAUUCCUGGUGUAGCGGUGAAAUGCGUAGAUAUCAGGAGGAACACCAGUGGCGAAGGCGGCGAUCUGGGAAGAUAUUGACGCUGAGGUGCGAAAGCGUGGGGAGCAAACAGG
RNAcentral lists this ribosomal RNA (253 nucleotides) under uncultured bacterium. Its description in RNAcentral is "partial 16S ribosomal RNA". It matches the Rfam family "Bacterial small subunit ribosomal RNA", at positions 524 to 776 of the family's 1533-position model. The record is from RNAcentral.